GUUAAGAAAAGUUUGCAGAAGAACAAAAGCAAGGGAAAAGAGAUACCAGGAAGAACAGAGGAAGCUAAGAACAGAGGAAGCAAGACAUACACGAGUGUUAAAGAGAAAACAUAUAUAGAAGAAGAAGAAGAAGAUGUACAUGCUGCCGAGAAGAAUGAGAAGAAAACUGGUUAUGAAAAGUCUGCAUAAAGCUGUUAGUCUUGAUUUGUCUCGGGUAGUUAAUCUAGAAUAGUUCGGUACUGGAAGUUAGUCAAAGUUUGCUUCAGUUAGUUACUUCUUCUUCAACUGAUUUCAUAUCUGUAAAACAGAAUUUCAGAGUUAGUUCUUGUAUAUAAAAGGCUAAGCUCUCAUUUGUACGAUAUCAAGGAAAAUAGAAUAAAGAGGAAGUUCUUCAUCUCAAGAUCUCUCUACAGAUUCUUCAUUUUGUUUUUCUCUCUGCGCAUAAACUUCUUCAUGGUAUCAGAGCAACCGCAUCCUGAAGAAAUCAUCUUGAUGCUGAAUAAAUAGAGAAGAUCUGCACCAGAUCAAAGUUAGAUUCAAAGCUUCUUUGAUCUCUGAAGAUAUCCGAAGUUGUCCAACAAAGUUCUGUAAGUCGGUAUUCUUCAUCCACAUAUAAAUCAGCGAGAUUCUCAUUUGCAUCUUACUGCAAAUCAGUAGAGUUUGUGUCUGCAACUAGAGUUGAUCUAAGAUCAGGAAGAAUAGAAUGGCAGCAAGAAGUUUGAGAUAUCCAUUUCCUAUUCAUGUGAAUAUCUCGAAUUUCGUUACCAUCAAAUUAGCUGAGGACAAUUUCCUCCUAUGGCAAGCUCAAUUCUAUAGGUUCUUGAGAAGCCAAGAUCUAUUCGGUUUUGUGAAUGGGGAAAUUUCACCACCUGCAAAGACAAUACAGGUUGAAGAAGGAGGUCAAGUUUCUGAGAUCUCUAAUCCUGAUUAUAAUGAUUGGAUAAAAACCGAUCAACUGGUAUCCUCUUGGAUUAGUGGUGCAGUAUCAAAAAAUAUACUCAGCUUGAUAAUAGGGUUAAACACUGCUUAUGAAGUUUGGCAAGUUCUGUUAAACCGGUUCACACAAAAAUCAGUAGCUAAGGAGUUUGAGCUAAGAGGAAAAUUGCAGGCUUGUCAGAAACGUGAACAAACAUUAUCAGCAUAUCUUAGGGAAUACAAAUCAAUAUGUGAUCAAUUGAAUGCCAUAGGGAAACCAGUGGAUGAAAUCACAAAGUUAUUUGGAAUUCUGGAAGGCUUGGGACCUGAGUACGAAAGUUUUAAAACCACAAUCUACUGUUUGAAGCCCCAACCAGAAUAUGAUGAAGUAAUCUCACACUUAGAAAGAUUCGAAGCCAGGUUACAGACUUAUUCUUUAAAUCAGUUCAGACCUAACCUAGCUUACUAUGGACAAAGGAAAACUGAAGCCAUACAAAAUGAAGAGGCUGACAGAGAAUAUAUACAAUCAAAUGUUAUUCCUAGAGGAUCAAGAAUAAGUAAUCGUGGAGGAAGAGGUUAUGGAAGAGGAAGAACAUAUAAUACCAGGUAUAGAAACUUUGGUUAUCCUGGAAGAAAUAUGAGUUACAGGAAUAGUAACUCGAACUAUGAACAAGAAAAUCAGCAGUUCAAACAAAUCAGUACCUCCUCUGGCUUAGGUUCUGCUCAAGGGUUUAGACCAUACAAUGUAUCAGCACAAAGGUAUUAUGAUAUCAGGUCAUAUCCUACACCAAAUUCAAAGAUACAAUUAGAGAAACCAGCAGAACAAAAGCGACUUGAGUGUCAAAUCUGUAAAAGGCCUGGUCAUGAUGCUUUACAUUGUUGGUAUCGGUUUGAUAACUCCUACCAAGCUGAGGAUAUACCAACAGCUCUAGCAGCACUACAUAUCGAAGAGACAAUUGAUCAAGAAUGGUAUCCAGACACUGGAGCAACAGCUCAUAUCACUUCCAAUGCUGGUAUACUUCACAGUCUUUCUAAAAAUGACAAUGCUGAAACAGUUAUGAUAGGCAAUGGUCUAUGUUUACCUGUCAAAUAUAUUGGUAAUGCAAUAUUAAAUGCUGCAAUUGCUGCCUUGCCUCUAAAUGAUGUGCUGAUAGUUCCUGAGAUUAAGAACAAUCUUUUAUCAGUAUCAAAAUUCACUGAUGAUUACCCCUGUUCCUUUAUUUUUGACAAAACUGGUGUGUAUCUCAAGGACAGCACAACCAACACAACCAUGAAGCUAGGAAGGAAGGUUAGAGGGUUAUACAGAGUAGACCCUCAUGCUGCAGAAGCUUAUUUCACACAAAGACAGAGGAUUGUUGCAGAAAGUAUCUGGCAUCAACGUCUGGCUCACACAAAUCAGAGUAUUUUGAAGCAAUUGAAGGCUCAAAAUUUGAUUCAGUAUAACAAAGAAUCACACUCUGUAUGUAAGAGUUGCCAAAUAGCUAAAAGUACUGCUCUACCUUUUCCAUUGUCGAAUUUUACAGCCACAAAACCUCUACAACAGAUCCACUGUGACAUCUGGGGACCUUCUCCAGUUAAAUCUUUCCAGAGUUUCAAGUACUAUGUCAUUUUUGUUGACAAUUUCUCUCGGUUCAGUUGGAUAUACCCUUUAAAGCUGAAGUCAGAGUUCUAUAGUAUUUUCCUCAUGUUUCAAAAAUUAGUAGAAAAUCAGCAUAACUGUAAGAUCCAGACCUUUCAGUGUGAUGGUGGAGGAGAGUUUAUUAGCCAAAAAUUCAGAACUCACUUACAGAAUUGUGGCAUUCAACAGCAUAUAUCUUGUCCAUAUACACCUGAACAGAAUGGGAUACCUGAAAGGAAGCAUCGGCAUAUAGUCGAACUUGGUCUGGCUAUGCUAUACCAUGCGAAAAUUCCACUAAAAUUUUGGGUAGAUGCAUUUGUAACUGCAAAUUAUAUUGUUAACAUUCUCCCUACUCAAAAACUACAGAUGCAGUCUCCCUUCAGCAAGUUAUAUCAGCAUAAUCCAAGAUAUGAUCAUCUCAGAACUUUUGGCUGUGCUUGCUAUCCGUGUCUUCGACCAUAUGCACAGAAUAAGCUUGAUCCACGGUCUCUAACCUGUGUCUUUCUUGGAUACAGUGAUCACUAUAAGGGAUAUCGAUGUCUUCUCCCUACUACUGGUCAUGUUUACAUUAGUCGACAUGUAGUAUUUGAUGAGAAUUUUUUCCCAUUCUCUCAAAAAUUAGCAACAGUCUAUCCAUCCUAUACACACUUAUAUAAACUGUGGAUAGAAGAAGAGUAGUUCUUGGCUUCCUCGACUACAAAUCACACCACUCCUUCAACUUCUCAGUAUACAGAUUGGGAAAAAGAAGCCACAAUGAAUCACACAAAUGGAGGGAUCUCACCUGAAUACACAGAACAAGCAGUUUCUAUAUCACCAGCUGAAACUACUGUGGAACGAGUAUCCAUCACUGCUCAAGAUAGCCCUCAACAAAUUGAAGUACCUAGUUCCAUAACUGAGAUAUCAGAUGAAU
This 3443-nucleotide long non-coding RNA is filed under the name Eucalyptus grandis. Its description in RNAcentral is "long non-coding RNA (EGRA_LNC000499)". The record is from RNAcentral. Lineage: Eukaryota; Viridiplantae; Streptophyta; Magnoliopsida; Myrtales; Myrtaceae.